This is an RNA transcript of Onychostruthus taczanowskii (white-rumped snowfinch), 2546 nucleotides long. It is a transcript of the gene named ninjurin 1, with no coding region annotated. The record is from RefSeq and is a predicted model, not a curated record. NCBI's taxonomy places the organism in Eukaryota, Metazoa, Chordata, Aves, Passeriformes, Passeridae. The transcript has 5 exons.
GCCGGGGGAAGGCGGCCCCGGCGGCGGGAGCGGCCCCGGGCGCGGUGCGGGGAGGCCGGGCCGGCUCCGGGAGCCGCUGCUCCGCGGGGAACCUUCCCCUCCGCCCCGGCCCGGGACAACAGGGGCCCGGGCGGCCGCGAUGGACUCCGGCAGCGAGACCCACGAACUCAACGGGACGGCGGAGGGCGCGGAGUCGGCGGCCGAGGAGCAGCGCAGGAGGUGGCAGUGGUUCCAAAGGAACAGACCCAUCAACAUCAACCACUAUGCCAACAAGAAGAGUGCGGCCGAGAGCAUGCUGGACAUCGCCCUCCUGAUGGCCAACGCCUCCCAGCUCAAAGCUGUCAUGGAGCAAGGGCCCUCCUUUUCCUUCUACGUCCCGCUGAUCAUUCUCAUCAGUCUGUCGCUCACCCUACAAAUUAUGGUGGGAGUGCUCCUGAUAUUCCUUGUAAAAUAUGACCUUAACAACCCUGCAAAACACGGAAAGCUGAAUUUCCUCAACAACCUUGCAACUGGACUAGUAUUCAUUAUAGUUGUUGUGAAUAUUUUUAUCACUGCCUUUGGAGUGCAGAAACCAGUUGCUGAGCCAAUAUCAAGACAGUAAGAACCAGUUCUUGCAGAUACCUGAGCUCACUUCCCAUUAGUGCAAAAGCAGAAGCUGCUGGGAACUGAGACCUGGAGCAUUCAUUUUAGAUGUCAUUUGCAGUUGAGCCAGCCACACUGGACACAGUGAGAAAAGAAAAAUAAUUUGAAGAAGCUGGACACACCAAGCAGCUUUCCCAAGCUUCCAACACACUUGUAUACCUGAAAUUUUUCCAUGUGUUAAUAUUUAAAUUGUUUGACAUCUGAGAAAAGGUUAGCUUUGCCCCAAGGAUGCUGUUUUUCUGGAAUAUUGGCAUUUCAAUUUCUGAAGAAACUUUUUUGUUCCAGAGAAGUGACAUAAAUUCAUGAAACAAGGAAAUAUCAUCUGAUAGCAUUUCACAGGACUUUUCUUUUUAUAUGCCUUUGGUUUUUGUGGCAAUUUGUCAUUUCUACAAUGGUAAGAAAUGUCAGGCCUUUGAUUCUGGCAUGGUCACAUUGUCCUUUAUUUCACUGCUUGGCACCAAGCCAUUGUACUCUGUAGCCCAGCAGGGCUCUUCCUUUGCAGUGUGUAAAAUAACUGCUUUUGCACAGCUUUUUGGUUUGCUUUUUUCCCACUCUAGCUAAAGGAAAGAUGAGACAAACAGAAACAAGCAGCAUUCUUCUGUCCGAUUUUGUUCACAGGUAAUCAUUUGUGUUGUUUCUUCUGGACACACUUAAAAUUUCCUGUCCUUCAUGCACAGACACAAAUCACCUAAUUGUUAAUGGUUUCUUACCGUGAACUGCUACUCUGUGUUUUCUGUGCAUUAUAUGUAUUUAUUUGAAUCAUAGAGUGGUUUGGAUUCAAGGGACCUUUACAGGUCAUCUUGUUCCAUCCUGUCCCAGGCUGCUCCAAGCCCCGUCCAGGCUGGCCUUGGACACUUCCAGGGAUUCAGGGGCAGCCACAGCUGCUCUGGGCACCCUGUGCCAGGGCCUCAGCACCUUCAUUGUAAAAGGUUCUUUCUUAUAUCAAAUUUCUAUUAGAAACGCUAUUAGAAGUGCCACCUUUUCUGGGCUCUACUGGUAAACUGGAGGCUCCAGGGUGAACAUUACCUGUUAAACUGGUACCAAGUGCCUGUCAGCGAAAUUCAAAUGGCAAAAUGAACUGAGUUUUUCUCUCUACUUUCCUCUCUCUCUUCCCAUCGAUUGCUGCUGUUUUGUUCCUUUUAUGAGUUUAUGACUAAAAGCAAAAUAAAUUUUUAAAUUUUUGUUUUUAAAUAUAUAUAGAGAGUUAUAAAUAUCUUCUAGCCUCUUACCUGCAGGCUCAGGGACUUACACUUUUUCUAAAUACACUAUUGCUAAUAAUGGUGUAGGUUACAAGAAUUUCUUCAACAAAAACAUUUUAGUAAUUUUUUUCCAAAGUAUCAUACCUGCAAUCUAAGUUUUCUAGGUUGCACUUAUAUGUAGAUGCAAGAUAUAGAUUUGUAUGAAUCAAUUUUCUUGGCAUCAAUUUUCAAAAGCUCCUUUGUACAUAAGAAUAGAAGAUUGAGUUCAUGUGUCUCAUCUCAUUUACAGGUUUUGUUACUGACCUUUCUCUUUGGGUAUGCCUCAAAGCCCACUGAUGUACCAGAUUUCAUGUAUAUUUUCUGUAAGAAUUGCUAACAGAAAACAAAUGAAACUCGUGUGAUUAGUAAUGGAAUGGAUAUUCUUUUUUAUUUUCUAAUUUGUCUUUUGUUGCUUCAUUUACAUUGUAACAUGUAUUUAACCCGUAUCCAGCAGGCAGUGGUUUAAUUUUGUGAGCUGUACUAACGUAAACAUAACUCAGAACAAGUUCUGAAUGAGGCAUGCAGGACAACUUCCUUCCUGUAUUUAUUUGUCACAAAGCACCAACUGCUGUAGGACUCUUCGUGCCCACUCGUGGCUGUCACACUUCUGAUGCUGCUUCCCAUGUCUUUUAUUGUGAUUAAAUAAGAUUUGCAAAACAUUCUCAG